RNAcentral lists this long non-coding RNA (2274 nucleotides) under Homo sapiens (human). Its description in RNAcentral is "long non-coding RNA NONHSAT216186.1". The record is from RNAcentral. Lineage: Eukaryota; Metazoa; Chordata; Mammalia; Primates; Hominidae.
CGCGCCCAGGCACUGCGGAGGGCCAGCCCCACGUGGGGGGUGGGGAGGGAUGCCCGCUCCGCCCCGUCCCCUCCGCGCCGGGCCUCGUCUCAGCCCGCCACGGAGUGGGCGGGACGCCAGGCAGGCGGGGGACGCGGCGGCUGCCAGCCAAGGGGCCGGAGCCAAGAGAUUUGCAUUGGAAGCGCCAUCCUCUUGCGCGUCUGAUGAGGAAGCAGAACCCGGUGACCGACUGAGCUGCAUUUCUGAAGCAUUUGCUGGGUUUUGCCUCACUAAGCCUCGGGGAGCACUGGGGCGCGGGAUGGGGGACCCUGUCACGGAGCCGACACCUGCUCGCGCGCCUCUCCCCCGCUCACGCCGUGCCGCGGGCUCGCCCUCCCCAUCUGCAGCGCCCGCAGCGCCUGCCCGCCCCGCCCAUCCUUCCUCCUGGGCAACCCAGAGGAUGGCGUGAGGACUCCUGGAAGCCCAGAGGACCGGACCAGGGGCGUGGUGGGGAGCCGUAGACCCGAGUUUUUAUCCUUCUCUGGCGCCGACACUCGGCUGCGGAAUCGAGUUUGAGCUCGGUGUAGCUGAAGUUUAAAUUGUAGCUGUUUCAAAGGUAGACCCCACCUCACCCCCACCCCUGGACCAAGACCUCUGGAAGCGUCCUGCCUGGAAGCCGCUUGUGGGGAGGGCUCUCCUAGGGUCUCCAGGCUCCCGCUGGAGCACGCCUGGAGAUGCCUUGGGAGUCUGAGGAACCCCAGAUUCAGCACCCCUGCUUAACCUGCUUUUAAGAAGAAAAAAAUGGAACUUGAUAAACUUCACUCAAAGGAGAGACCCACUAAUAACUCCACACACCUCACACCGAGUGAAGACGCUGAGACAAUGUAUGUGUGCUCCAGGAAUGACUGGAUGAAACAAAAAGAGAGUCUGGAUGCCAUUAAAAUGUUUGACUAUUGGAUUCCCACGGUUUGGGAUGGGAAGCAGAACUCGGUGAAACUGUAGGUUCUGUGUCCGGGCCAAGCGUUGCUGAAAGGUGGAAGAAUUCAUGGAAAGAAGGUUAUACCAGAAACCAAGAUCUGCUUUUUAAAAGGGAACAUGUACGCUCAUGUUUUGGCUUGAAUUCACUGCCUUUCACCUAUGUGUGGUCCCUCCUGUGCCGAGUCAGCAUGGAGUUCAGGUGGUGGAAGACAAACAGCUCAGAGCUGGACUCAGAACUUGGCAGAGUCCUGCUUUCAACUACAUGCAGCCAGAAAACUCUGGAAAACUGAACUGUUUAUUGGGGUCAAACUUUGGACUCCUAGAGUGGAGCUAGCUCCCGUCCUUCCAAAUGCAGCAAUGACAUUAAGGACAUUCGUUCACAUGGUUCACAGUUGGUGUUGGGAAGUUGUCCUACCUGGACAUUGCUGUCAGAGCCAUGGACUAAAAUACUCAAUUCUGGCCUAAAUAAAGCAAGCUCUCGGUGUUAAAGACUUUUUUUUUUUUUUUUUUUUUUUUGAGAUGGAGUCUUGCUCUGUUGCCCGGGCUGGAAUGUAAUGGUGUGAUCUCAGCUUACUGCAACCUCCACCUCCCAGGUUCAAGCAAUUCUCCUGCCUCAGCCUCCUGAGUAGCUGGGAUUACAGGUGCACGCCACCAUACCUGCUAAUUUUUGUAUUAUUAGCAGAGGCGGGGUUUCACCAUGUUGGCCAGGCUGGUCUCCAACUCCUGGCUUCAAGUGAUCCACCCGCCUCAGCCUCCCAAAGUGCUGGGAUUACAGGCGUGAGCCACAGUGCCUGGCCUUUUUGAGGAUUAUUAUAAGUAAAAGAAAAUUCAGACCACGAACAUAGCAUUCCUUUAGGUGUUUUGCAUAGAUAUAGUUUUUUGCUUUACUGUGGGUCCACUGGGAAAAGGUUUGUGGAAAUCUGAGCAGCUGAUGUUUGUGUGCUCAGAUUCUUUGGGACCUAUCUAUAAGACUUGGCGAGGCAAUACGGCUUCCACCAUUUCCCCAGGGAAAAAGUUACUCAAGGUUACUGAACUCAUGAAACCAUGUGGAUUUCCAGCAUGUGUUAUUAUAAUCUCACUAACCUUCCGAUUUUAAAACGCUGUAACUCUGUAAUUUUUUUCUGUGGUCAGCCCUUCCCAAAGGUAUCCACCUUCCAGUUUGUCCUGUGGAGCACGCUCUUGGCAGAGUUUGGCAUUGUUUGUUAUCAGGGGGUUUGAUUUAUGUAAAAUUGCAUUAAAUCACUAAUAAGGAAGACUUUGUUUAAUUUGUAUUUUUGGAGGGAAAGAAAUAUUUUAUGGUAUAACCAUCAUAAAUCU